RNAcentral lists this ribosomal RNA (465 nucleotides) under uncultured bacterium. RNAcentral describes it as "partial 16S ribosomal RNA". It matches the Rfam family "Bacterial small subunit ribosomal RNA", at positions 338 to 795 of the family's 1533-position model. The record is from RNAcentral.
CCUACGGGUGGCAGCAGUAGGGAAUCUUCCACAAUGGACGAAAGUCUGAUGGAGCAACGCCGCGUGCGUGAAGAAGGGUUUCGGCUCGUAAAGCUCUGUUGGUCGUGCAAAAAGAUAGAGGUAGUAACUGGCCUGUAUUUGACGGUAAUUACUUAGAAAGUCACGGCUCACUACGUGCCAGCAGCCGCGGUAAUGCGUAGGUGGCAAGCGUUGUCCGGAUUUAUUGGGCGUAAAGCGAGUUCAGGCGGUGCAAUAAGUCUGAUGUGAACGCCUUCGGCGCAACCGGAGAAUUGCAUCAGAAACCGUUGAACUUGAGUGCAGAAGAGGAGAGUGGAACUCCAUGUGUAGCGGUUGAAUGCGUAGAUAUAUGGAAGAACACCAGUGGCGAAGGCGGCUCUCUGGUCUGCAACUGACGCUGAGGCUCGAAAGCAUGGGUAGCGAACAGGAUUAGAGACCCUAGUAGUC